GUGCCCCCCGCCGCGGUAAUACGAAGGGUGCAAUCGUUACUCGGAAUUACUGGGCGUAAAGCGUGCGUAGGUGGUCGUUUAAGUCCGUUGUGAAAGCCCUGGGCUCAACCUGGGAACUGCAGUGGAUACUGGGCGACUAGAGUGUGGUAGAGGGUAGCGGAAUUCCUGGUGUAGCAGUGAAAUGCGUAGAGAUCAGGAGGAACAUCCAUGGCGAAGGCAGCUACCUGGACCAACACUGACACUGAGGCACGAAAGCGUGGGGAGCAAACAGGAUUAGAUGCCCUGGUGGUCCACGCCCUAAACGAUGCGAACUGGAUGUUGGGUGCAAUUUGGCACGCAGUAUCGAAGCUAGCGCGUUAAGUUCGCCGCCUGGGGAGUACGGUCGCAAGACUGAAACUCAAAGGAAUUGACGGGGGCCCGCACAAGCGGUGGAGUAUGUGGUUUAAUUCGAUGCAACGCGAAGAACCUUACCUGGCCUUGACAUGUCGAGAACUUUCCAGAGAUGGAUUGGUGCCUUCGGGAACUCGAACACAGGUGCUGCAUGGCUGUCGUCAGCUCGUGUCGUGAGAUGUUGGGUUAAGUCCCGCAACGAGCGCAACCCUUGUCCUUAGUUGCC
Molecule: ribosomal RNA, 616 nt
Filed under: uncultured Stenotrophomonas sp.
Lineage: Bacteria; Pseudomonadati; Pseudomonadota; Gammaproteobacteria; Lysobacterales; Lysobacteraceae
Description: bacterial SSU rRNA
Rfam family: Bacterial small subunit ribosomal RNA
Source: RNAcentral